UAGCCAUAUCACAUUGAAUCACUGGUUCUUGUAUGAUCACUGAAGUUAAGCAAUGUUGAGCUUGGUCAGUAUCUAGAUUGGUGACCACUUGGGAAUACCAGGU
Acanthosepion pharaonis is the source of this 103-nucleotide non-coding RNA. NCBI's taxonomy places the organism in Eukaryota, Metazoa, Mollusca, Cephalopoda, Sepiida, Sepiidae. The record is from the annotation of a GenBank genome assembly.